Long non-coding RNA from Carassius gibelio (silver crucian carp), 349 nucleotides. RefSeq lists it as uncharacterized. The transcript has 3 exons. NCBI's taxonomy places the organism in Eukaryota, Metazoa, Chordata, Actinopteri, Cypriniformes, Cyprinidae. The record is from RefSeq and is a predicted model, not a curated record.
AAGUUUCGUAGCUUAAUCGAAGUCACCUGAAGGACGGCUUUCCUCAGCAACGGCAAGGCCCGCACUCCUCUCAUAUCGUGAUGUUUAACAAGUUUCGCGGCUCAAGCAAGAGGCACCUGUCACUGAAGGACUGCUUUUCUCAGCAACGACGUGAACAGCAUUACUCGAAUUUCCUGGUUCAGCUGAUCUACCCGUCUUCGUACAAGCAGAGUUGGCAGAGGAGCUCAUAAAAAUCUACAUCCUUCGGGACAAUGAUGGGGCAGUCAGCGAUGUAGGAGUUGUGAUUGACUGCAUCACUGUCCUCCGCAAUCUUGGGAAUCUCAGCAGAGCCUGCUGCUAUCUUUUGGGA